AGGCGGGCAUCCAUUGCGAGCGUGGCAUUGUCGUUUCCGACACCAUGCAGACCUAUGAUGGACGUAUCUAUGCGGUCGGAGAAUGCGUGCAGCACCGUCGCCAGACCUACGGUCUCGUGCUGUUCGAUCAGGCUAAGGUCUGCGCCAAUCAACUCGCCAUGAAGGGCUUUGCCAGCUACUCGGGUUCGGUGGUCUCGACCAAGCUCAAGGUGACAGGCAUCGAUCUGUUC
RNAcentral lists this unclassified non-coding RNA (230 nucleotides) under Hevea brasiliensis (rubber tree). Lineage: Eukaryota; Viridiplantae; Streptophyta; Magnoliopsida; Malpighiales; Euphorbiaceae. The record is from RNAcentral.